UCUCCGUUGGUGAACCAGCGGAGGGAUCAUUACCGAGUUCCAGCAACUCCCAACCCUUGCGAACCGUACCCCAGUCUGUUCUCGUUGCUUCCGGCAGGCGGGGGGGGCAACCUGGCCCCUCCCCCUGCCGGGAGCGGCGGCCCCUCCGAACAUUUAUAUCUCAACCACUGAAACCCGUCUGAGCAAAACAAAAGAUAAUCAAAACUUUCAACAACGGAUCUCUUGGCUCUG
Molecule: unclassified non-coding RNA, 231 nt
Filed under: plant metagenome
Description: partial contains small subunit ribosomal RNA, internal transcribed spacer 1, and 5.8S ribosomal RNA
Source: RNAcentral